This 497-nucleotide ribosomal RNA is filed under the name uncultured bacterium. RNAcentral describes it as "partial 16S ribosomal RNA". It matches the Rfam family "Bacterial small subunit ribosomal RNA", at positions 28 to 507 of the family's 1533-position model. The record is from RNAcentral.
GAUGAACGCUGGCGGCGUGCCUAAUACAUGCAAGUCGAGCGAACAGACGAGGAGCUUGCUCCUCUGACGUUAGCGGCGGACGGGUGAGUAACACGUGGAUAACCUACCUAUAAGACUGGGAUAACUUCGGGAAACCGGAGCUAAUACCGGAUAAUAUAUUGAACCGCAUGGUUCAAUAGUGAAAGACGGUUUUGCUGUUACUUAUAGAUGGAUUCGCGCCGCAUUAGCUAGUUGGUAAGGUAACGGCUUAUCAAGGCAACGAUGCGUAGCCGACCUGAGAGGGUGAUCGGCCACACUGGAACUGAGACACGGUCCAGACUCCUACGGGAGGCAGCAGUAGGGAAUCUUCCGCAAUGGGCGAAAGCCUGACGGAGCAACGCCGCGUGAGUGAUGAAGGUCUUCGGAUCGUAAAACUCUGUUAUUAGGGAAGAACAAAUGUGUAAGUAACUAUGCACGUCUUGACGGUACCUAAUCAGAAAGCCACGGCUAACUACGUG